ACCAAAUGAUAGACACUAAUCUCCAUUUCUUAGAAAUGAGGAAAUAAAACCACAAAAUGUACAAAGUCAGAUCUAAAACCCCUACCUUUGGGUCCAGACUUUUCUUCUAAAGUUCUGCAGUUAUACCCAGAUGCCACAGAAACAUAGGAUCUUAGAGGAGAAGUAACUUAGCAUUUCAUGGAUGGUGCUGCAUCUGUAAGCGAGGAUGGACAAAUGUGUCCAGAACAAGCAGUUGUAACUAUUGUGAGGCCCCAUCUGGAACAGAAGGAGAAGAGACAUUCUAGGGAGGAACACACCAAUGUGUGCAUGAGGAGCAUUUGGAAACAG
Homo sapiens (human) is the source of this 327-nucleotide long non-coding RNA. Ensembl annotates it as CD200R1L antisense RNA 1. Its record names the gene CD200R1L-AS1. The record is from Ensembl. NCBI's taxonomy places the organism in Eukaryota, Metazoa, Chordata, Mammalia, Primates, Hominidae.